GUGUGUGUGUGUGUGUGUGUGUGUGUGUGUGUGUGUGUGUGUGUGUUGAGCUCCAAGAUAUAGUUUCCUUCAAUCUGGGCAGAAUUUUAAAGCUUAGCUAUAUUUUGCCUUUGCCUUUCAUUCCUUCAUUCCCACUUUUUCUUCCCCCAUUCCAUAUUAUGGACAUUGUUGUAUUUCAGUGUGCAGAACAGAAGAGGAUAAAUCACUUUGAUGGCAGUCGCGUCCUGCAUCCCAAAAAUCUGAAGGGGCACAAAGUACUGUGGGCUGUGGGGGAGUGCAGGGAGGAGCUAUGCCCACACAUCUGAGCGCUGGCCCCUUGCAGGCUUAUCUGCCUCAAGGAUAUUACUCUACUUUAGAUGUCACCCUGGGUCUGAGGUAAUACUGAUCCAUAUCACCCUCUUCUCCUUUUUUUACCCAGGCAAAAACAUAACUGUUUCAACUUUGACCUGGACAUGUAUUAUUAUGUGUAGAUUUACUUUCUUCAGUGUAUUGAUUCAAUGUGAGAAGCCAUUAGCAGCAGGGACCACUGAGUUAGGCUACAUGUAUGUCCUCUUUAAAUCAGUCCCAGAAACAUUUGUUAUCUUCAAAUCUGUUUGAGCCAAAUAUCACCUCUGUCAAAUUGAAAUGUAGUCCUCCGGGCUGUUCUCAUAUUAAAGUCAUGUAUCACAGUUUCCAGUUGCACAGUUAUUAUACUUUGUCAGUGCUAAACAUGUAAUUGUUCUUCAGAGCAGAUUGCUCCUGAACAUUUCCUGUCAAUACUAAUAAGAGAUAAAUUGUUCCAUUUCAUAUUUUAUUCAUGCCCCGGUUUGUAGAACAUUAUUCUAAAUGUUUUUGUUUUUACUGUGGUUAAUUAUACCCUGUCUUGAGUUCAUGUCAACAACAUCUAAAGGUAAUAAUGAGGAAUAGAAGCCAUUUGUGAGUCAUUACACACUGCAGUUUGCUCGCCUCUUAUUUUUGUGUAGAGUAAUUAUUGUAUUUUCAAAUGGAUUACAUCCACAUAUUUAGUUCCCACUUUCUCUAUUAUCUCUUGGUUAAAGCCACUGAAGCGGGUCUAGCUCCAUCUGUUGUGGUUUGUCAUAGUUACUGUCUGUAUGGGAUGUGUUACUUAAAAGGGUCUACUUCCUCUUUCUUAUGUUUUACACACCCUCCUUUACAAUGGACAGUACAUCUUCAUAAUGUGGCCUGUGUGCUGUGUUUUAUUUCUACUGCUGUUCAAGUUGAAUACUACAUAUAUAUCUUUGCUGGCAUGAAUUUAUGAGUGAAAUAAAAAAAUACCUUUUAGGUUGUGAGCAUAUUGUAGUUUCAUUUUAAUGCUGACUCCACUGAAGCAGCCACUCAUUGACAUUUUCAAUACUUUUUUAUUUUUAUUUUUUACAAAUGGCUGAAUGAGGCUUUAAAUGCAGCUGAUAUUUGAAUCUUGGUGCCAUACGUAAACAGACGUGGCCCAGAUUCCUUUGGUUUUUUGAUAUGACAGUAAGGUAUAAAGAUUUUAUAAGUUACUAUCCUAAGAUUAUGCAAGCCAAUUUUACUCCCAUUGACAAUCUCUUUAAACCUGAGGAAAAUGGCCUUUUGCUGACAAAUACAUUUUUAAGUGGUUGUAUUAAGGUGUGGGGUUACAGUUUUGCUUUGAAAUAAGAACAGCACCAUAGCUAUAACACAUUUCAUUCGGUGUGACAGUAUAAAAUAUAUCAGGAAGCUCUAUGCUUGGCUGGGCUGUGUUGGUUGCCAGGUGCCAGUAUGUCAUCAUUUCCUCUCAGGGCCAGUCUUAAUUAGACAACAGAAACACUGCAGGCUGCUGCCAAUGGGGACUGAGUUCCCUCCAAACCCACAGAACAUUGUUCAUACUCUUCCCAGCACCAUACAUUCCUAUGGGGUCUGUAUGAGUGAGCAUGUGUGUAUUUGGAGGAGGCGUGGAUGGGGAGAUGUCACAUUUCAGUGUGUGUGUGUGUUGAGUGUGUGUUCCCUGUCUACAGUAUGUGUGCACACGUAGAUGUGUGAUGGGCAGUGUCAUUGUGUCAGUGUCCUUGUUAUUGUUUCUGUGUGUGUAUGUACGUGCAUGUGUGUGUCACACUGUAUGUGUUUGAGUGCGAUGUGUCCAGUGUACUCCACUGCAGAUGUAAACAGAAGUGACAUGCCUAUGGUAUAUUUACGGGUCCUUGCCCUUUGUCUCCCCAACUCUCUCUAAACUACCUUAUUCUCUACCUCUGAUUUUAGCAACAGCUCACUUUUGACAUAUGCGCUCCUUGUUCACAGACACAUUCCAUGCAGAAUGAAACUAUUUAAUGCAUAGCCACUUCUGUAUGUUCUCCCAGUUUGGGUUUUUAGGUCUUCAGAGUGCUGCAUGGCAGAAGUUUUUAGGUCAGUGCUCUUCUACUUUCUGCACUGCUCAGACUCUGGGGAUUCAGAAAUCACCGAUGGGAGCUGUGCUGCUGUCAAGCAAAGCCUCUUUCAGGUUGUCACAGGCUGCAAAGGAGUCCGAAGUGGGUUUGCACAACCUCGACCAGAUGGAUGGGCCAUUUUUACAUUAUAGACAUCAAAAAGUGGAGCAAAAGAUCCAGGAGAUGGUCACGACAGGGGUCAUCAGGCUAUCCAACGGCCCUUGGAUGGCCCCUGUAGUCCUUGUCAAGAAGAAGGACAGCUCAUGUUGCUCCUAUGUGGACUUCAGGCAGCUGAACUAUGUGACUAGGAAGAAUUCCUAUCCCCUCCCGCUCCCUCCAUCUCCUGAAAGCCAGGCUGAAGACUGCCUUCACAAUUGCAUUAGGUCUUUGUCUGUUCACUUUGAUUCCCUUUGGACUCUGCAACACUCUGUGCCUACCUUUGAGCACCUUAUGGAGCAAGUUAUGACCACAAUCCCCUGCAACAAGUGUGUUGUCUACCUGGAUGACCUCCUUGUGCACUCACCGGACUUCAAGGGUCCAUUCCCUUGAAGGGGCAAGCCACUUUGGGCACACAAAUACCAUCCACCGCCUCAGAGAGAAUUCUUACUGGGCUGGAGUGGUAUGUGUAUGCCUGCGAAACCUGUAUUGGCCACAAAGGCCCAACUGGACACUCCCAUGCCCCAUUACAGCAAUACCAGGUGUGGGUCCCCAUCAAGCGGGUCCUUUCCCCAAGACUGAGGCGGGCAACCGGUUCGUAUUGUAGCCAUGGACUGCAUUACCGUGGCCAGAGGCCAAUGUAGUUCCCGACCAGUCCACCACAACUACUGCCAACAAGCUGGUGAAGGGGAUGUUUUGCCGGUUUGGAGUACUGGAAGAUGUCCACAGUGAUCAGACGAGAAAUGUUGACAAUAAGGUGUUAAAGACAGUCUGUAUGGAACUGGUGGUGCGCAGGACGAGAACCAGCCCCCUGUUCUUUAAAGCAAAAGGCUGGUCGAACGGUCUAAUCAGACUUUGGCGAUACAUCUGGCUACGCUCACCUCAAACCACCAGAAGGACUGGGACAAACAUCUGUCAUUGGUCUAUUGGGCUUACCGGUCAGCAGUACAAGAGUCCACUGGCUGCACCCCAGCGGCGCUGAUGUUAGGCAGAUAACUAAACACUACAGUGGACUUUUCCUUUGGAAUACCACCUCAACCUUACAGUAAGCAGUGCUUGGAUACAGGCCAUAACUUCGUACGGUGUCGCUUGAUGGAAUGCAUGGUCAAACUUACGCUGUGAGGUCCAGGGACUUGGCCUCUCACUAUGACUCAUCGGAAGGUAUCAAUCAAUCACAUUUAUUUCAUAAAGCCCUUUAUACAUAAGCAUUGCUAUACAUAUACCCAGCCUAAAACCCCCAAAAGGAAGCAAUGCAGAUGUAGAAGGACAGUGUUAGGUGUAGAAGGACAGUGUUAGGUGUAGAAGCAGAGUGUUAGGUGUAGAAGGACAGUGUUAGGUGUAGAAGAACAGUGUUAGGUGUAGAAGAACAGUGUUAGGUGUAGAAGAACAGUGUUAGGUGUAGAAGGACAGUGUUUGGUGUAGAAGCAGAGUGUUAGGUGUAGAAGGACAGUGUUAGGUGUGGAAGCAGAGUGUUAGGUGUAGAAGGACAGUGUUAGGUGUAGAAGAACAGUGUUAGGUGUAGAAUGACAGUGUUAGGUGUAGAAGGACAGUGUUAGGUGUAGAAGGACAGUGUUAAGUGUAGAAGGACAGUGUUAGGUGUAGAAGAACAGUGUUAGGUGUAGAAGGACAGUGUUAGGUGUAGAAGGACAGUGUUAAGUGUAGAAGGACAGUGUUAAGUGUAGAAGAACAGUGUUAGGUGUAGAAGAACAGUGUUAGGUGUAGAAGGUGCCAGUUUUAGGUGUAGAAGGACAGUGUUAAGUGUAGAAGAACAGUGUUAGGUGUAGAAGAACAGUGUUAGGUGUAGAAGAAUAGUGUUAGGUGUAGAAGGACAGUGUUAGGUGUAGAAGCAGAGUGUUAGGUGUAGAAGGACAGUGUUAAGUGUAGAAGAACAGUGUUAGGUGUAGAAGGACAUUGUUAGGUGUAGAAGGACAGUGUUAGGUGUAGAAGGACAGUGUUAGGUGUAGAAGAACAGUGUUAGGUGUAGAAGGGGACAGUGUUAGGUGUAGGACAGUGUUAAGUGUAGAAGAACAGUGUUAUGUGUAGAAGAACAGUGUUAUGUGUAGAAGAACAGUGUUAGGUGUAGAAGAACAGUGUUAGGUUUAGAAGGACAGUGUUAGGUGUAGAAGCAGAGUGUUAGGUAUAGAAGGACAGUGUUAGGUGUAGAAGGACAGUGUUAGGUGUAGAAGAACAGUGUUAGGUGUAGAAGGGGACAGUGUUAGGUGUAGAAGAACAGUGUUAGGUGAAGAAGGACAGUGUUAGGUGUAGAAGAACAGUGUUAGGUGUAGAAGAACAGUGUUAGGUGUAGAAGGACAGUGUUAGGUGAAGAAGCAGUGUUAGGUAAGGAGACAUGUGAAAUGAGUUCACAUUGAACAAAAAUCUAUACUCUAUCUAGCCUACCAGGUCUGACAACAUCCUCCCUGUCUCCAUGACAACAUGUUUGUAGAAAAUAAAACAAAUAUCCCACUGGGCACAGACGUCAGUUCAACGUCUAGUUUUGAUUUACAUUUGGUUGAGUUGUCAAAUACAGUGAAUUCAACGUGAAAUCAACAAAUCAUUUUACCAUGUCAUUUGAUUUAGGUUAAAAGUUUGGUGAAAGAAAGAUGUAAUUCCCUUACGUUGAUUACUUUUUUCAAAUCCAAUCAGUUUACCAUGUUGAUUAAACGUCAUCACAUUGAAUUUGUUGGUUGAAAUGACGUGGAAACAACGUUGAUUCAACUAGUUUUUGCUCAGUCGGAUGAUGCCCAGAGAGAGACUCACAUGGUGUUGGUGCAGGGCUGACUCUGCUCAUUUUUCUGUCACAUCAAUAAAAUGCUUUUUAGCAAACUGACAGCCACAAGUACAUACAGUACUGUACUGAAGCUUUCCACAGACACACAACAGCUGUUCGAAAAAAAUACUAUGGUCUUAUGAAAAUAAUCCUUGAUCUUAAUUGCUCUUCAAUACCAGAAUACAGUCAAGUAAUAUAGUGUCGGCAUGUCUUCAUAUAGAUACUGUAUAUGAUGGAUUGAAAGUAAGUUACAUUUGAGAAAAGUGAGGAUAUUAUGCAAACAAAAGCUCUAGGACCUAUAAAGGUAGAGUAAAUUCAAUUAUUUCACAGAUAUUUUCAGUUGUCCAUUGGCACUGACCAGUGGCUAGCCCCAGCCCUAUGGAGUGAAGCCAGGCAUAGUAAUCAUUCUUCAGUAAUCAGAGCUCACUGGACUGUCUCCUGGACCUUGCCUGAUAGACUAGAUCAAUGUCCUGUCAGAUCCUACCCUUCAAUAUUCCACGUAACUGGGCUCUCCACAGCCCAGGCCCCACAACACAGGAAUGACCUGCCAUCUCACAAUAUCCAGUCUCCACUAGUAUUUACCUGCCGUUUCAUAGGUGGCAAUUGAAAUCAAUUCAACAUAAUUGAUAAUUACCUGGUGUCACAUCGGUAUCUAGAGGUGUUUUUAUAGGAUGAGACUAUAUUUACUUCAAAGACAAGUCAUUGUAGGCCUCGCAAAUCUUGUAUCCAUAUAUUUAUGUAUGGCUCUGGUAUGGCUCUGGUAUUGGGCUUCAAAAUGUGGGUUUUCAAUAUGUUUCCAUAACUACUGUAUGUACAAUUAGACUGGUGCAGACAAAACACAUGAUUUUCACACAAAGUCAUUAACUUGCAGCAAUUUUAACUUGCAACCUUUCAAGCUUAUACUAAAGGUGGCAAUACAUUUACUGAGGCUUAUAAUUGUUUGUCAAUAAAGAAUGAUACCAACAUAGCUCCAGUAGUUUGUGGAGGUAUAUUUUCAACUCUAAUUUGUUGAAUUAGCAUUCAUGAUUAUAUAUAGAUAUAGGACCUUAAUUUGAUAACCCUG
Molecule: long non-coding RNA, 6364 nt
Organism: Oncorhynchus tshawytscha (Chinook salmon)
Lineage: Eukaryota; Metazoa; Chordata; Actinopteri; Salmoniformes; Salmonidae
Source: Ensembl